Molecule: ribosomal RNA, 119 nt
Filed under: Salmo salar (Atlantic salmon)
Lineage: Eukaryota; Metazoa; Chordata; Actinopteri; Salmoniformes; Salmonidae
Source: RNAcentral
GCUUACGGCCAUACCAGCCUGGGUACACAUGAUCUCGUCUGAUCUCGGAAGCUAAGCAUAGUCGGGCCUGGUUAGUACUUGGAUGGGAGACCGCCUGGGAAUACCAGGUGCUGUAAGCA